RNAcentral lists this ribosomal RNA (253 nucleotides) under uncultured bacterium. RNAcentral's name for it is "partial 16S ribosomal RNA". It matches the Rfam family "Bacterial small subunit ribosomal RNA", at positions 524 to 776 of the family's 1533-position model. The record is from RNAcentral.
UACAGGGGGGGCAAGCGUUGUUCGGAAUUACUGGGCGUAAAGGGCUCGUAGGCGGCCAACUAAGUCACACGUGAAAUCCCCAGGCUUAACCUGGGAACUGCGUGUGAUACUGGAUGGCUUGAGUUCGGGAGAGGGAUGCGGAAUUCCAGGUGUAGCGGUGAAAUGCGUAGAUAUCUGGAGGAACACCGGUGGCGAAGGCGGCAUCCUGGACCGACACUGACGCUGAGGAGCGAAAGCCAGGGGAGCAAACGGG